Molecule: ribosomal RNA, 524 nt
Filed under: uncultured bacterium
Lineage: Bacteria
Description: partial 16S ribosomal RNA
Rfam family: Bacterial small subunit ribosomal RNA
Source: RNAcentral
GACGAACGCUGGCGGCGUGCCUAAUACAUGCAAGUCGAGCGCAGGAAGCUGACGGAACUCUUCGGAGAGAAGGCAGUGGAAUGAGCGGCGGACGGGUGAGUAACACGUAAGGAACCUGCCUCAAGGAUUGGGAUAACUCCGAGAAAUCGGAGCUAAUACCGGAUAGUUCAACGGACCGCAUGGUCCGCUGAUGAAAGGCGCUUCGGCGUCACCUUGAGAUGGCCUUGCGGUGCAUUAGCUAGUUGGUGGGGUAACGGCCCACCAAGGCGACGAUGCAUAGCCGACCUGAGAGGGUGAUCGGCCACACUGGGACUGAGACACGGCCCAGACUCCUACGGGAGGCAGCAGUAGGGAAUCUUCCACAAUGGACGAAAGUCUGAUGGAGCAACGCCGCGUGAGUGAUGAAGGUUUUCGGAUCGUAAAACUCUGUUGUAAGGGAAGAACACGUACGAGAGGGAAUGCUCGUACCUUGACGGUACCUUACGAGAAAGCCACGGCUAACUACGUGCCAGCCGCCGCAGUAA